AAAGAUGGAAAUGACAAACUGGAGGUAUGUUAAAUUUCUUUCGCCAUACUUUAAAAUUGUUUGAAUUGUCGCUAUUGUGAAAACAUUUGCGAUUACUUUUGACCAAGAAUUUUCCACGGUGUCAAGCCCGAGUAAGCCCCGUGAAGCAGAGGAUUGGAAUAGCGAUAAGGACGCCGACCUGUUAAGCACGCCGACGGUUAUUUUCAGAGAUAAUCGUGAAGGGACUGUCCACAGACAACAUAAGCGGAAAAGAACGGAUAGUUUUAACGACACUGCCGAUGAUGAAUUGUUGAUCGCUGCGGCUGAAAAAAUUGAAGCGGGUCUAGCGACGGCAGAAACUUCAACCGACGGCGCUCAGAGCGAACCUGAAGAACAGUUGGAAUCUACGCCGCCGGGUACUCCUACUACAGGGGUUGUGACGCCGGACCAAGGGUUCCCA
Brienomyrus brachyistius is the source of this 439-nucleotide long non-coding RNA. RefSeq lists it as uncharacterized. Lineage: Eukaryota; Metazoa; Chordata; Actinopteri; Osteoglossiformes; Mormyridae. The transcript has 3 exons. The record is from RefSeq and is a predicted model, not a curated record.